Molecule: ribosomal RNA, 253 nt
Filed under: uncultured bacterium
Lineage: Bacteria
Description: partial 16S ribosomal RNA
Rfam family: Bacterial small subunit ribosomal RNA
Source: RNAcentral
UACGAAGGGGGCUAGCGUUGCUCGGAAUCACUGGGCGUAAAGCGCACGUAGGCGGCUUGUUAAGUCAGGGGUGAAAUCCUGGAGCUCAACUCCAGAACUGCCUUUGAUACUGGCGAGCUUGAGUCCGGGAGAGGUGAGUGGAACUGCGAGUGUAGAGGUGAAAUUCGUAGAUAUUCGCAAGAACACCAGUGGCGAAGGCGGCUCACUGGCCCGGUACUGACGCUGAGGUGCGAAAGCGUGGGGAGCGAACAGG